RNAcentral lists this ribosomal RNA (506 nucleotides) under uncultured bacterium. RNAcentral's name for it is "partial 16S ribosomal RNA". It matches the Rfam family "Bacterial small subunit ribosomal RNA", at positions 29 to 523 of the family's 1533-position model. The record is from RNAcentral.
AUUGAACGCUGGCGGCAGGCCUAACACAUGCAAGUCGGACGGUAGCACAGAGGAGCUUGCUCCUCGGGUGACGAGUGGCGGACGGGUGAGUAAUGUCUGGGGAUCUGCCCGAUAGAGGGGGAUAACCACUGGAAACGGUGGCUAAUACCGCAUAACGUCGCAAGACCAAAGAGGGGGACCUUCGGGCCUCUCACUAUCGGAUGAACCCAGAUGGGAUUAGCUAGUAGGCGGGGUAACGGCCCACCUAGGCGACGAUCCCUAGCUGGUCUGAGAGGAUGACAAGCCACACUGGAACUGGGACACGGUCCAGACUCCUACGGGAGGCAGCAGUCGGGAAUAUUGCACAAUGGGCGCAAGCCUGAUGCAGCCAUGCCGCGUGUAUGAAGAAGGCCUUCGGGUUGUAAAGUACUUUCAGCGGGGAGGAAGGCGAUGUGGUUAAUAACCGCGUCGAUUGACGUUACCCGCAGAAGAAGCACCGGCUAACUCCGUGCCAGCCGCCGCGGUAA